This 492-nucleotide ribosomal RNA is filed under the name Camenta sp. DA4139. RNAcentral's name for it is "partial 16S large subunit ribosomal RNA". It matches the Rfam family "Bacterial large subunit ribosomal RNA", at positions 1844 to 2600 of the family's 2925-position model. The record is from RNAcentral. Lineage: Eukaryota; Metazoa; Arthropoda; Insecta; Coleoptera; Scarabaeidae.
UUUAAAGUCUAGCCUGCCCAAUGAUUGUUGAAUGGCCGCGGUAUACUGACCGUGCAAAGGUAGCAUAAUAAUUAGUUUUUUAAUUGAAAGCUUGAAUGAAUGGUUGGACGAGAAAGCGACUGUCUCUAAUUUAAAAAUGGAAUUUUAUUUUUAAGUGAAAAAGCUUAAAUUUGUUUAAAAGACGAGAAGACCCUAUAGAGUUUUAUAUUUUUUUUUUAGUUAUUUAUGUGUAAUUGUGUUGUUUCUAUGAUUUUAAGUAUUUUGUUGGGGUGACAGAAAAAUUAAUAAAACUUUUUCUUUUUGUUUACACUUAUUUGUGCUUUUUUGAUCCGUUUAUUUCGAUUAUAAGAUUAAAUUACCUUAGGGAUAACAGCGUAAUUUUCUUUUAGAGUUCUUAUUGAAAUGAAAGUUUGCGACCUCGAUGUUGGAUUAAAAUUAAUUUUCGGUGUAGUGGCUGAAUUAUUAGGUCUGUUCGACCUUUAAAAUUUUACA